Varroa destructor (honeybee mite) is the source of this 573-nucleotide long non-coding RNA. RefSeq lists it as uncharacterized. The record is from RefSeq and is a predicted model, not a curated record. NCBI's taxonomy places the organism in Eukaryota, Metazoa, Arthropoda, Arachnida, Mesostigmata, Varroidae.
CACGUAUGCUGUUCUGUCGAAAUUUGACAGCUGCCUUGGGCUUGAAUUAAAAGCUGGCCAAACAAGUACAUCGAAGAAGUUUUAAGAUAAAUCCUACGUAGCAUACGGUAAUGAUAGUAUCGCUAGAGAAGUGCUUUCAAAUUGCUACGGAAAGCGCCUAGAAAAGCUACUAUUUGAAUGGCCUAGCCCUGGCUGCGAUCACUGCUGCAACCCGGUUUGCCGUACGCCGAAUGCAUUUUCGUCACGUGCGCAUCUUGAGACCCCGCUUAGAGUAACAUACUCUAGAGCUAUGGGACGUCUGUGAUCUCCUGUCCGGCUCUGACUCACCCUCUAAUACACGGUCACACAUUUUGACCGGAUUCAGGACACGUCCCAGUGGGGGCCUUUUCUUCGACAGCAGUCAAGAAAUGCUCUUCCAGCACCAGUGUCGUUAUAUUGCUAUCACCAGAAAAUGGAAGGAGGCGGCUUUUACAUGAAACUGCAUGCACAUAUUUGGUUCGAGUGCGGAGGUCAAACCCGGCAAUGCGUAAAAUUUCUAGACGACCUUAUUUGAUUGGCUACUGACUAUGUGUA